RNAcentral lists this ribosomal RNA (479 nucleotides) under uncultured bacterium. Its description in RNAcentral is "partial 16S ribosomal RNA". It matches the Rfam family "Bacterial small subunit ribosomal RNA", at positions 28 to 507 of the family's 1533-position model. The record is from RNAcentral.
GAUGAACGCUGGCGGCGUGCUUAACACAUGCAAGUCGAACGAAGCACUUUAACCUGAUUCUUCGGAUGAAGGUUUUUGUGACUGAGUGGCGGACGGGUGAGUAACGCGUGGGUAACCUGCCUCAUACAGGGGGAUAACAGUUAGAAAUGACUGCUAAUACCGCAUAAGACCACAGAGCCGCAUGGCUCGGUGGGAAAAACUCCGGUGGUAUGAGAUGGACCCGCGUCUGAUUAGGUAGUUGGUGGGGUAACGGCCUACCAAGCCAACGAUCAGUAGCCGACCUGAGAGGGUGACCGGCCACAUUGGGACUGAGACACGGCACAAACUCCUACGGGAGGCAGCAGUGGGGAAUAUUGCACAAUGGGGGAAACCCUGAUGCAGCGACGCCGCGUGAGCGAAGAAGUAUUUCGGUAUGUAAAGCUCUAUCAGCAGGGAAGAAAAUGACGGUACCUGACUAAGAAGCACCGGCUAAAUACGUG